UUGUAAUUUGCAGAGGAUGCUUCUGGCGCGGUGCCUUCCGAGUUCCCUGGAACGGGACGCCACAGAGGGUGAGAGCCCCGUAUGGUCGGACACCAAGCCUGUGUGAAGCUCCUUCGACGAGUCGAGUAGUUUGGGAAUGCUGCUCUAAAUGGGAGGUAAAUCUCUUCUAAAGCUAAAUACCGGCCAGAGACCGAUAGCGCACAAGUAGAGUGAUCGAAAGAUGAAAAGCACCUUGAAAAGGGGGUUAAAUAGUACGUGAAAUUGUUGAAAGGGAAGCACUUGUGACCAGACUUGGGCCGGGCGGCUCAUCAGGGGUUCUCCCCUGUGCACUCCGCCCGGCACAGGCCAGCAUCGGUUCUCGUGGGGGGAUAAGACCGUCAGGAACGUAGCACCCUCCGGGGUGUGUUAUAGCCUGGCGGACGAUACCCCCGCGGGGACCGAGGUUCGCGCUCCGCAAGGAUGCUGGCGUAAUGGUCACCAGUGACCCGUCUUG
This 493-nucleotide ribosomal RNA is filed under the name fungal endophyte sp. DM188. RNAcentral describes it as "eukaryotic LSU rRNA". It matches the Rfam family "Eukaryotic large subunit ribosomal RNA", at positions 143 to 656 of the family's 3401-position model. Lineage: Eukaryota; Fungi. The record is from RNAcentral.